UACGGGGGGGGUAAGCGUUGUUCGGAAUUACUGGGCGUAAAGGGCUCGUAGGCGGCCAACUAAGUCAGACGUGAAAUCCCUCAGCUUAACUGGGGAACUGCGUCUGAUACUGGAUGGCUUGGAUCCGGGAGAGGGAUGCGGAAUUCCAGGUGUAGCGGUGAAAUGCGUAGAUAUCUGGAGGAACACCGGUGGCGAAGGCGGCAUCCUGGACCAAUAUUGACGCUGAGGAGCGAAAGCCAGGGGAGCAAACGGG
RNAcentral lists this ribosomal RNA (253 nucleotides) under uncultured bacterium. RNAcentral's name for it is "partial 16S ribosomal RNA". It matches the Rfam family "Bacterial small subunit ribosomal RNA", at positions 524 to 776 of the family's 1533-position model. The record is from RNAcentral.